UACUACGCGGAGCUCGCGAUUCUCCUGGA
Molecule: small RNA, 29 nt
Filed under: Bombyx mori (domestic silkworm)
Lineage: Eukaryota; Metazoa; Arthropoda; Insecta; Lepidoptera; Bombycidae
Description: ovarian small RNA-21262
Source: RNAcentral